GACGAACGCUGGCGGCGUGCUUAACACAUGCAAGUCGUACGGUAAGGCCCUUUCGGGGGUACACGAGUGGCGAACGGGUGAGUAACACGUGAGUAACCUGCCCAAAACUUUGGGAUAACGCUAGGAAACUGGUGCUAAUACUGGAUAUGUGCUCCUGCUGCAUGGUGGGGGUUGGAAAGCUCCGGCGGUUGUGGAUGGACUCGCGGCCUAUCAGCUUGUUGGUGGGGUAGUGGCCUACCAAGGCGGCGACGGGUAGCCGGCCUGAGAGGGUGACCGGCCACAUUGGGACUGAGAUACGGCCCAGACUCCUACGGGAGGCAGCAGUGGGGAAUAUUGCACAAUGGGCGCAAGCCUGAUGCAGCAACGCCGCGUGCGGGAUGACGGCCUUCGGGUUGUAAACCGCUUUCAGCAGGGACGAAGCUUUUUGUGACGGUACCUGCAGAAGAAGCACCGGCUAACUACGUG
This 465-nucleotide ribosomal RNA is filed under the name uncultured bacterium. Its description in RNAcentral is "partial 16S ribosomal RNA". It matches the Rfam family "Bacterial small subunit ribosomal RNA", at positions 28 to 507 of the family's 1533-position model. The record is from RNAcentral.